GAAAGUCACUUGCCUAUUCUCUGGUGGAAUGGACAUCCCAGUAUCUGAUGAUAAAAACAGAGAGUCACAUACAGAGUUUUCACAGAACAAUGGCUUUCCUAGAAUCACUGUCAGUGUUUUCCCAUGGAAAAAGCUGCAGGAGGAAUUCACAGAAACAGACUGGAAAGAACCUGCUGCUGGGUUUGCCAAUCCUUUGUACAGCACUGAUCAUGGAAAUGAAACACAGCUAACAGGAUGUUCAGAGAUUUAAAUUAAAGCACCAAGCAUUGCAAGUUGCCUGUUUUUUACAUUACUCGGGCAAAAUGAAUAACUGUCAGUUUUAGCAAAAAUGUAUUUUAAAAAUGAAAC
Protopterus annectens (West African lungfish) is the source of this 348-nucleotide long non-coding RNA. RefSeq lists it as uncharacterized. The record is from RefSeq and is a predicted model, not a curated record. NCBI's taxonomy places the organism in Eukaryota, Metazoa, Chordata, Ceratodontiformes, Protopteridae. The transcript has 3 exons.